This 465-nucleotide ribosomal RNA is filed under the name uncultured Klebsiella sp. RNAcentral describes it as "bacterial SSU rRNA". It matches the Rfam family "Bacterial small subunit ribosomal RNA", at positions 338 to 795 of the family's 1533-position model. The record is from RNAcentral. Lineage: Bacteria; Pseudomonadati; Pseudomonadota; Gammaproteobacteria; Enterobacterales; Enterobacteriaceae.
CCUACGGGAGGCUGCAGUGGGGAAUAUUGCACAAUGGGCGCAAGCCUGAUGCAGCCAUGCCGCGUGUGUGAAGAAGGCCUUCGGGUUGUAAAGCACUUUCAGCGGGGAGGAAGGCGUUAAGGUUAAUAACCUUGGCGAUUGACGUUACCCGCAGAAGAAGCACCGGCUAACUCCGUGCCAGCAGCCGCGGUAAUACGGAGGGUGCAAGCGUUAAUCGGAAUUACUGGGCGUAAAGCGCACGCAGGCGGUCUGUCAAGUCGGAUGUGAAAUCCCCGGGCUCAACCUGGGAACUGCAUUCGAAACUGGCAGGCUAGAGUCUUGUAGAGGGGGGUAGAAUUCCAGGUGUAGCGGUGAAAUGCGUAGAGAUCUGGAGGAAUACCGGUGGCGAAGGCGGCCCCCUGGACAAAGACUGACGCUCAGGUGCGAAAGCAUGGGGAGCAAACAGGAGUAGAUACCCGAGUAGUC